RNAcentral lists this ribosomal RNA (253 nucleotides) under uncultured bacterium. Its description in RNAcentral is "partial 16S ribosomal RNA". It matches the Rfam family "Bacterial small subunit ribosomal RNA", at positions 524 to 776 of the family's 1533-position model. The record is from RNAcentral.
UACAGAGGGUGCGAGCGUUAAUCGGAAUUACUGGGCGUAAAGCGUGCGCAGGCGGUUCGUUGUGUCGGCGGUGAAAUCCCCGGGCUCAACCUGGGAAUGGCCGUUGAAACUGGCGAACUGGAGUGUGGCAGAGGGGGGUGGAAUUCCGCGUGUAGCAGUGAAAUGCGUAGAGAUGCGGAGGAACACCGAUGGCGAAGGCAGCCCCCUGGGCUGACACUGACGCUCAGGCACGAAAGCGUGGGGAGCAAACAGG